RNAcentral lists this transfer RNA (82 nucleotides) under Fusarium euwallaceae. Its description in RNAcentral is "tRNA-Ser". It matches the Rfam family "tRNA". Rfam says of the family: Transfer RNA (tRNA) molecules are approximately 80 nucleotides in length. Their secondary structure includes four short double-helical elements and three loops (D, anti-codon, and T loops). Lineage: Eukaryota; Fungi; Ascomycota; Sordariomycetes; Hypocreales; Nectriaceae. The record is from RNAcentral. RNAcentral also lists the same sequence under 10 other names.
GGCGUGGUGGCAGAGUGGUCUAAUGCGAUAGACUCGAAAUCUAUUCUCUUCGGAGGCGUCUGUUCGAAUCAGGCCCACGUCG